RNAcentral lists this unclassified non-coding RNA (85 nucleotides) under Pseudomonas libanensis. The record is from RNAcentral. Lineage: Bacteria; Pseudomonadati; Pseudomonadota; Gammaproteobacteria; Pseudomonadales; Pseudomonadaceae.
GUGGGAGGGGGCUUGCUCCCGAUUGCGGUGAAUCAGUCAGCUCAUCUGUAGCUGACACUGCAAUCGGGAGCAAGCCCCCUCCCAC